CCUACGGGGGGCUGCAGUCGAGAAUCAUUCACAAUGGGGGAAACCCUGAUGGUGCGACGCCGCGUGGGGGAAUGAAGGUCUUCGGAUUGUAAACCCCUGUCAUGUGGGAGCAAAUUAAAAAGAUAGUACCACAAGAGGAAGAGACGGCUAACUCUGUGCCAGCAGCCGCGGUAAUACAGAGGUCUCAAGCGUUGUUCGGAAUCACUGGGCGUAAAGCGUGCGUAGGCUGUUUCGUAAGUCGUGUGUGAAAGGGGCGGGCUCAACCCGCGGACGGCACAUGAUACUGCGAGACUAGAGUAAUGGAGGGGGAACCGGAAUGCUCGGUGUAGCAGUGAAAUGCGUAGAUAUCGAGAGGAACACUCGUGGUGAAGGCGGGUUCCUGGACAUUAACUGACGCUGAGGCACGAAGGCCAGGGGAGCGAAAGGGAUUAGAUACCCGAGUAGUC
Molecule: ribosomal RNA, 446 nt
Filed under: uncultured bacterium
Lineage: Bacteria
Description: partial 16S ribosomal RNA
Rfam family: Bacterial small subunit ribosomal RNA
Source: RNAcentral